AGAACAUCUGAAGCCGCACUACUUUCACUGGAAAGACUGCCCAUUCUUCCCGAGGCUGGCAAAAUACAGGAACUCAGGGCCUGUCUUAGCCAUGGUCUGGGAGGGGCUGAAUGCGGUGAAGACAGGCCGAGUGAUGCUGGGGGAGACCAAUCCAGUGGAUUCUAAGCCACACACCAUUUGCAGGGACUUCUCUAGUCAGGUGGGCUGAUGCAUCAUUCAUGGCAAUGGCUCAGUAGUAAGUGCUGAAAAAGAAAUCACCUAUGGUUUAAGCCCAAAGAACCAGUUGACUACAGAUCUUGUGCUUAUGACUGGGUCUAU
RNAcentral lists this long non-coding RNA (318 nucleotides) under Homo sapiens (human). Its description in RNAcentral is "non-protein coding lnc-GALNT12-2:1". Lineage: Eukaryota; Metazoa; Chordata; Mammalia; Primates; Hominidae. The record is from RNAcentral.